GGACCCAAAUCAAAAGAAGCUUAAACCUGGGAAAUAGAAAAACAGAAGGGGCCAGAAAUCUUUUUGUUCCAACGAACCAGCAGAUAAGUAAAUGAAGAAGAUGUAGAGUGGGAUUUGGUUUGGUAUUAAGAGUAAUUUGUACUCCUUGAGGUUCCCAUGGGUGGAAAUACUUAUUUGGGGAAGGGCAGUUUUUCUCCUGGUGUGACAACUGGGAGGACUGGAGGCACAAAACAAUGGCUGAAGACCUGCACGUCAUCUACAGAGCAUAGGAAUCCCAUUCUUGAUCUCCAAAAUAGCCAUGAUCCAUGGUGAUGUCCAACCUCUAUUAGGAGAAGAACAGAAACACAAAGAAAUUCUACAGUACAAGUGCGGAGAGGCAGAUGAAGCGUUGCAAUACAGAUGUCUGCUAGAAGGCUAGGAGAAUAUGCUGAGUCGAAUGUUUCAUCUAUAAUAUUGUUUUCCGUGCCAGAGCUUGCCUCUGGUAGGUGAAGCGUGGGAUUUCCUGACUUAUGUUUUACAAACGGGAUGGUGCACAAUGGAAGAAUUUAUUUGAAAAUGACAGAAGAGCAGAAUGUUGAGGUCUAAGCAUCUGAAGCUGUUCCUGAAACUGAACAUUGUCCAACCUCCUCCCCCCCCCCACAGCUUAGACAAAAAAAAAAAUUGCCAUGGUACAGCUAGGUAAUUUUAGCCUCUGAAUGCUCUUACCUGGGACCGGUCUUGAUCUGGUAACGUGUCUUGCUGCACUUCCUUCAAAUGUUGUGACCUGCUGCCUUGGGGGCAUCUUCUGCUCGUUCUACUCAGCUGUGCCUUGGAUGACAGCCCCAAAGUUCUGCUCUGAAAACUCUCCUGAAAAUGUGGCCAGUAAAGUGUGAUAGUGCAUGUGCCACUUUACACUGUAUCUGCUUAGUAUGCACUGCUAAAUGUCUAAAUAAACAAUGAAGCAAUCUAGUUAUUUAUUUAUUUUUAACCAA
Molecule: non-coding RNA, 971 nt
Organism: Pogona vitticeps (central bearded dragon)
Lineage: Eukaryota; Metazoa; Chordata; Lepidosauria; Squamata; Agamidae
Source: RefSeq, a predicted model, not a curated record